GCCUACGUGGUAUAGUGGUUAACGCUGCUGUCUACCAAAUUUAGGGCGUGGGUUCGAUUCCCAAUGGCGUCA
Caenorhabditis brenneri is the source of this 72-nucleotide non-coding RNA. The record is from the annotation of a GenBank genome assembly. Lineage: Eukaryota; Metazoa; Nematoda; Chromadorea; Rhabditida; Rhabditidae.